UGCAGAAGCAGGCAAACAAUCCUGCAUGA
Molecule: non-coding RNA, 29 nt
Filed under: Rattus norvegicus (Norway rat)
Lineage: Eukaryota; Metazoa; Chordata; Mammalia; Rodentia; Muridae
Source: RNAcentral